AUGACCACCGGCCGCGGCCACCGCGUUUCGCCGGCGGUUGCGGCGGGGCCGCUGGAGGAUGACAACGUCCUCGGCGAGAUCCUCGUCCGCCUCUCCCCGGAGCCAUCCUCCCUCCCGCGGGCGCUUGUCUGCAAGCCGUGGGGUCGCGUCGCCGCCUCCGCGGACUUCCGCCGCAGCUGGCGCGACCGCCACGGGAGACCCCCGGUCCUGGGCGUCUUCGAGAAGCGCAUGACGACUCUGCUCUUCACCCCUGGCCUGCAAGCUCCAGAUCGCAUCCCCAUGGAGCGCUUCUCCCUCCAGGUCUGCAGCGAGGCCGCGUGGAACACCUGGUGCGUGCUCGGGUGCCGCCAGGGGCGCGUCCUCAUCAUGAACUGGACGCUGCGUGAGUUCCUCAUCUACAACCCUUUCUCCGGUGAGCGCGACCGCGUGUCAUUCCCACCGGAUCUCUCACUCCCACAGGAUUUCUUCGACGACGCGUACAACGCCAACGGAGCUCUGCUCUGGGACGACGAGCAGCGCCCACUGAAGCUGGUCUUGGUAGCCUGCACGGGCCACUCGAGAGUUGCGGCCCGUGUGUACUCCUCUGAGACGGGCACAUGGGGAGACAGCAUCUCCAUUCCUGAGCCAUGUCGUCUUACCAGUGUCCCCGUCACUGUGGUCGGCAACCGCCUCUACUGUUGGCUCAAAAGGCCUGGGAAUAGCAUACUAGAGUUCAAUCUGGAUAACCAGACCCUAGCUCUCAUCACAAGGCCUCCCCGUGCCAACCUCAAGAGCCGCAACUGCCGGAUCAUCCCAGGAGAGGAUGGCGCUGUUGGCCUCGCCUUAUUCAUGUACCCUGCCAUCGAACUGUGGAACCGCAACAUCAACUCUCAUGGUGUUGCAACAUGGGUGCUGCGCAAGACCGUUAUUCUGGACAGCAUCUUUGAUCUGGCGCCGUCUUCAACGGGGCAAUGGAGGUCAUUAGUUCUCGGGUAUGCCGAGGAUGCUAAUGCCCUUCUUAUAUCGGUGUACAAAGAGAUGUGCAUCCGUGUAUUUACGGUUCAACUUGAGUCAAUGCAGUGCAAGAGAAUUCAUGGACACUUUCUCAAUGAUUUGUAUUAUCCGUUCGCCAGUUUCUAUGCCGCAGGCCCAUCGACGCUACAAAUUCUCGCUCGUGGGAACAACGAUGGGGGUGCUGGUGGGGGACAAGCGUAA
This 1194-nucleotide ribosomal RNA is filed under the name Triticum aestivum (bread wheat). RNAcentral describes it as "partial small subunit ribosomal RNA". The record is from RNAcentral. Lineage: Eukaryota; Viridiplantae; Streptophyta; Magnoliopsida; Poales; Poaceae.